This 602-nucleotide ribosomal RNA is filed under the name uncultured bacterium. RNAcentral's name for it is "bacterial SSU rRNA". It matches the Rfam family "Bacterial small subunit ribosomal RNA", at positions 305 to 916 of the family's 1533-position model. The record is from RNAcentral.
CGGCCGCCGCCCGCCGCGGCGGGGCGGGGGCACGGGGGGACUCCUACGGGAGGCAGCAGUGGGGAAUCUUGCACAAUGGGGGCAACCCUGAUGCAGCGACGCCGCGUGAGCGAUGAAGCCCUUCGGGGUGUAAAGCUCUUUCGGCAGGGAAGAUAAUGACGGUACCUGCAGAAGCAGCUGCGGCUAACUACGUGCCAGCAGCCGCGGUAAUACGUAGGCAGCAAGCGUUGUUCGGAGUUACUGGGCGUAAAGGGUGUGUAGGCGGCCUUCUAAGUUUGGUGUGAAAUCUCCCGGCUCAACCGGGAGGGUGCGCCGAAGACUGGGGGGCUAGAGUGUGGGAUGGGAGAGUAGAAUUCCUGGUGUAGCGGUGAAAUGCGUAGAUAUCAGGAGGAAUACCGGUGGUGUAGACGGCUCUCUGGACCAUAACUGACGCUGAGACACGAAAGCGUGGGUAGCAAACAGGAUUAGAUACCCUGGUAGUCCACGCCCUAAACGAUGCAUAUUUGGUGUGGGCCAUUCAUUUGGUCCGUGCCGGAGCUAACGCGUUAAAUAUGCCGCCUGGGGAGUACAGUCGCAAGGCUGAAACUCAAAGGAAUUGACGG